AGAUAUUGUAGGAUCGAGGCCUGCCUGUCUAG
This 32-nucleotide transfer RNA is filed under the name Aplocheilus lineatus (striped panchax). Its description in RNAcentral is "partial tRNA-Asn". Lineage: Eukaryota; Metazoa; Chordata; Actinopteri; Cyprinodontiformes; Aplocheilidae. The record is from RNAcentral.